This 437-nucleotide ribosomal RNA is filed under the name uncultured Saccharofermentans sp. Its description in RNAcentral is "partial 16S ribosomal RNA". It matches the Rfam family "Bacterial small subunit ribosomal RNA", at positions 341 to 792 of the family's 1533-position model. The record is from RNAcentral. Lineage: Bacteria; Bacillati; Bacillota; Clostridia; Eubacteriales; Oscillospiraceae.
ACGGGAGGCAGCAGUAGGGAAUAUUGGGCAAUGGAGGAAACUCUGACCCAGCAACGCCGCGUGAAGGAAGAAGGUCUUCGGAUUGUAAACUUCUGUUAUAGGGGAAAAACAAGGUGAUGGUACCCUAUGAGAAAGCUACGGCAAACUAUGUGCCAGCAGCCGCGGUAAUACAUAGGUAGCAAGCGUUAUCCGGAAUAACUGGGCGUAAAGGGAGUGUAGGUGGCUAGGUAAGUUAGAUGUGAAAGACCGCAGCUUAACUGCGGAAUUGCAUUUAAUACUGCUUGGCUUGAGUGCGAAAGAGGUAAAUGGAAUUCCUAGUGUAGCGGUAAAAUGCGUAGAUAUUAGGAAGAACACCAGAGGCGAAAGCGAUUUACUGGUUCGUAACUGACACUGAGGCUCGAAAGCGUGGGGAGCAAACAGGAUUAGAUACCCUGGUA